Molecule: ribosomal RNA, 524 nt
Filed under: uncultured bacterium
Lineage: Bacteria
Description: partial 16S ribosomal RNA
Rfam family: Bacterial small subunit ribosomal RNA
Source: RNAcentral
GACGAACGCUGGCGGCGUGCCUAAUACAUGCAAGUCGAACGAAGCUGUUUUAACUGGUGCUUGCACCGACUUAAACAACUGAGUGGCGAACGGGUGAGUAACACGUGGGUAACCUGCCCCAAAGCGGGGGAUAACAUUUGGAAACAGAUGCUAAUACCGCAUAACCACAGAAACCACAUGGUUUCUGUGUCAAAGAUGGUUUCGGCUAUCACUUUGGGAUGGACCCGCGGCGUAUUAGCUAGUUGGUAAGGUAAUGGCUUACCAAGGCAAUGAUACGUAGCCGAACUGAGAGGUUGAUCGGCCACAUUGGGACUGAGACACGGCCCAAACUCCUACGGGAGGCAGCAGUAGGGAAUCUUCCACAAUGGACGAAAGUCUGAUGGAGCAACGCCGCGUGAGUGAAGAAGGUUUUCGGAUCGUAAAACUCUGUUGUCAGGGAAGAACGUGUGCGAGAGUAACUGCUCGUGCAGUGACGGUAUCUGGCCAGAAAGCCACGGCCAACUACGUGCCAGCCGCCGCUGUAA